ACAACCCAUCAACAAAAGAACCAAUCAGCUGCUCAGAAUUUAAAUAUAGCUCCAAACAACCAAACAACCAACUGACCACAUUGGCACACAAGACGUUUAUAAGUUAAGGAGAAUAAAAAAAAAAAAAAAGGGAGAAUAAGACAAGACAAUCCUGAUGAUAAUGUUACCUAGUCAGAUAAUGAAACGUUCAGAAACUAAAUUGAAAUAAGCUUGGAGAGCAAACCACUGCCAAAAUCUAAAACCUGAGCUACAAGUAUUUUCUAUUAUUUCAAAAUAUACAGUAUAUCUACGUCUAGAUAGGAGGAUUCUUGCAUCAGCAGUUAAGUUUUCAAUAUAUUCUCAAUGGACAUUAAGACGAAACCAAGUACGAUGCAUGGAUUGGCAGACACAACAACUUCCAAACUGUUGUCAUAUUAUUUCACAAGUUUUCUAUCCCAAGUGCAAAAUCCCGUGCACCUCGUCUAAAAUAGUUAAGAGUAUCUGUUUUCUAAAGUAAGUAGAAAAGGCAGCUAGGAUAUCUGCUGAAUUAUCACAGGAGGUGUUGUCCUCCAAGAACUUGUCAAAAAAAAUCCCAAGUGAUAAAAGAAGUUUUAUUUCAGUGUGAAGAUAUUGCUGCAUCUUUCAACUAAGUGAUACCAGCUAUAGUCAAGAUAGACAUAUACACGUGUUAUGUAAACUGGGAUGCAUCUUUUAAUGGAACAGGAGAAAAAGGUCAAAGAACAUUUGAAGGAUGUACCCUGAUAUCCCAGGAAGAUCAUCAUAGUAAGAAGAUUCAACAGACCUUGUUCAUCAUCUAGAAAAGGAAUAGCUUAAAGAACUCUGCUCCUCUCUGCCAGAAGAAACAAUCAACUUCCUAAUAUGUUGUUCCUCUGGGACCAUAGAACAGAAGGUGUCGCAAAUCAGCAGGUGUCGCAAAUCAACAAUAUCAGAAACUGAAAAAUCAAGUAAAUCUCCAGCUUAUUGUGACAGGCCACAUAUAUGUGGCUCAGAAUCCAGAUUUCUACAAGGAUAAAUUUCCUCCUAGUGUACUUUACAGGCUAAUGUUUAAAAAUAAUAAUAAAUAGUUAUUUCAAAGCCUUGGGUUUUGUACAAAGCUCACAUUCCAUAUUAUUUCCUGAAAAACAAUUAUUGAUGGGCAUGAAAUUAUCAACCAAGAUUUUUUGCCGUCCAAUCACUUUAUCGACUUUUAAAAAUACCUAUCAGUUCAUUUAGUCUAGCCUUGUUGUAGAAUCACCAACAGAGGAGAUUUUUAUCAAUUAGGAUAAUGAUUAAUCAACAUGAAAAAUCUAAAAUUUAAUGCAAUCCAAACCAAGAAAUAGUAAGUAUAUGAUUCAAUACAUCUGAAGAGUAUCAAUUAAAAUCCCUGCUCCAAGAUUUUCGGAAUCAGAUCCUGAUAAUUGAGAUCCUGGUCAGCUUUUGUUGCAGCCUUUCAGAUUUCCAAUAAAAAUUGAAAUAAGAGAAUUAAAUGGUAUAAUACAAUACAGUA
Long non-coding RNA from Pantherophis guttatus, 1486 nucleotides. RefSeq lists it as uncharacterized. Lineage: Eukaryota; Metazoa; Chordata; Lepidosauria; Squamata; Colubridae. The record is from RefSeq and is a predicted model, not a curated record.